This 389-nucleotide ribosomal RNA is filed under the name uncultured Ectothiorhodospiraceae bacterium. RNAcentral's name for it is "bacterial SSU rRNA". It matches the Rfam family "Bacterial small subunit ribosomal RNA", at positions 97 to 482 of the family's 1533-position model. Lineage: Bacteria; Pseudomonadati; Pseudomonadota; Gammaproteobacteria; Chromatiales; Ectothiorhodospiraceae. The record is from RNAcentral.
GGCGGACGGGUGAGUAAUACUUAGGAAUCUGCCCAGUAGUGGGGGACAACUCGAGGAAACUCGAGCUAAUACCGCNUACGCCCUAAGGGGGAAAGCGGGGGAUCUUCGGACCUCGCGCUAUUGGAUGAGCCUAAGUCGGAUUAGCUUGUUGGUAGGGUAACGGCCUACCAAGGCGACGAUCCGUAGCUGGUCUGAGAGGACGAUCAGCCACACUGGGACUGAGACACGGCCCAGACUCCUACGGGAGGCAGCAGUGGGGAAUAUUGGACAAUGGGCGCAAGCCUGAUCCAGCAAUGCCGCGUGUGUGAAGAAGGCCUGCGGGUUGUAGAGCACUUUCAGUAGAGAAGAAAAGCUUAAGGUUAAUACCCUUGAGUCUUGACGUAACCUAC